RNAcentral lists this non-coding RNA (45 nucleotides) under Echinostoma caproni. Lineage: Eukaryota; Metazoa; Platyhelminthes; Trematoda; Plagiorchiida; Echinostomatidae. The record is from RNAcentral.
GCACUACUGACUAAUCCCAAACAGGAUGAAACAGCUGUCCAGUGC